This 497-nucleotide ribosomal RNA is filed under the name uncultured bacterium. Its description in RNAcentral is "partial 16S ribosomal RNA". It matches the Rfam family "Bacterial small subunit ribosomal RNA", at positions 28 to 507 of the family's 1533-position model. The record is from RNAcentral.
GACGAACGCUGGCGGCGUGCCUAAUACAUGCAAGUUGAGCGCUGAAGGUUGUUACUUGUACCAACUGGAUGAGCAGCGAACGGGUGAGUAACGCGUGGGGAAUCUGCCUUUGAGCGGGGGACAACAUUUGGAAACGAAUGCUAAUACCGCAUAAAAACUUUAAACUCAAGUUUUAAGUUUGAAAGAUGCAAUUGCAUCACUCAAAGAUGAUCCCGCGUUGUAUUAGCUAGUUGGUGAGGUAAAGGCUCACCAAGGCGAUGAUACAUAGCCGACCUGAGAGGGUGAUCGGCCACAUUGGGACUGAGACACGGCCCAAACUCCUACGGGAGGCAGCAGUAGGGAAUCUUCGGCAAUGGACGAAAGUCUGACCGAGCAACGCCGCGUGAGUGAAGAAGGGUUUCGGAUCGUAAAACUCUGUUGGUAGAGAAGAACGUUGGUGAGAGUGGAAAGCUCAUCAAGUGACGGUAACUACCCAGAAAGGGACGGCUAACUACGUG